UACAGAGAGUGCAAGCGUUAAUCGGAAUUACUGGGCGUAAAGCGCACGUAGGUGGAGUUUUAAGUCGGAUGUGAAAGCCCUGGGCUUAACCUGGGAAUUGCAUUCGAUACUGAAACUCUAGAGUAUAGUAGAGGGAAGUGGAAUUUCAGGUGUAGCGGUGAAAUGCGUAGAUAUCUGAAGGAACAUCAGUGGCGAAAGCGGCUUCCUGGACUAAUACUGACACUGAGGUGCGAAAGCGUGGGGAGCAAACAGG
This 253-nucleotide unclassified non-coding RNA is filed under the name uncultured Gammaproteobacteria bacterium. RNAcentral's name for it is "contains 16S-23S intergenic spacer region". It matches the Rfam family "Bacterial small subunit ribosomal RNA", at positions 524 to 776 of the family's 1533-position model. Lineage: Bacteria; Pseudomonadati; Pseudomonadota; Gammaproteobacteria. The record is from RNAcentral.